GAUGAACGCUGACAGAAUGCUUAACACAUGCAAGUCAACCGGUGGCGGACGUGUGAGUAACGCGUAAAGAACUUGCAUCAGAGUUAGGGACAACAUUUGGAAACGAAUGCUAAUACCUGAUACUGUGAGAGAGCUUUGCGUCCCAUUAGCUAGUUGGAGAGGUAACGGCUGACCAAGGCGAGGAUGGGGAGCCGGCCUGAGAGGGUGAUCGGCCACAAGGGGACUGGGACACGGCCCGUAGGCCUACGGGAGGCAGCAGUGGAGAAUAGUGACCAAUGGACCAAAGUCUGAUCCAGCAAUUCUGUGUGUACUGUGAAUUUUUCGGAAUGUAAAGUGUUUUCAGUUGGGAAGCGGUACCAACAGAAGAAGUGACGGCUAAAUACGUGCCAGCAGCCGCGGUAAUUC
RNAcentral lists this ribosomal RNA (405 nucleotides) under uncultured bacterium. RNAcentral describes it as "partial 16S ribosomal RNA". It matches the Rfam family "Bacterial small subunit ribosomal RNA", at positions 28 to 526 of the family's 1533-position model. The record is from RNAcentral.